CGGCGGUAAUACGUAGGGUGCAAGCGUUAUCCGGAAUUAUUGGGCGUAAAGAGCUCGUAGGCGGUUUGUCGCGUCUGCUGUGAAAACUGGAGGCUCAACCUCCAGCCUGCAGUGGGUACGGGCAGACUAGAGUGCGGUAGGGGAGAUUGGAAUUCCUGGUGUAGCGGUGGAAUGCGCAGAUAUCAGGAGGAACACCGAUGGCGAAGGCAGAUCUCUGGGCCGUAACUGACGCUGAGGAGCGAAAGCAUGGGGAGCGAACAGGAUUAGAUACCCUGGUAGUCCAUGCCGUAAACGUUGGGAACUAGAUGUAGGGACCAUUCCACGGUUUCUGUGUCGCAGCUAACGCAUUAAGUUCCCCGCCUGGGGAGUACGGCCGCAAGGCUAAAACUCAAAGGAAUUG
This 400-nucleotide ribosomal RNA is filed under the name Frigoribacterium sp. L36. RNAcentral's name for it is "bacterial SSU rRNA". It matches the Rfam family "Bacterial small subunit ribosomal RNA", at positions 515 to 912 of the family's 1533-position model. Lineage: Bacteria; Bacillati; Actinomycetota; Actinomycetes; Micrococcales; Microbacteriaceae. The record is from RNAcentral.